AGCUCCCGCCGUCCCUCUCUGAGGCUUGGCUGUCCGGUGUGUGAAGCGGGGCAUGCCGCUGUCCUCUCCGUCAUCGUCACCCACAGAAACCCCUCAAACCCCAGGCCGCCACCUGGCGCGGCGAAGCCUCCGGGCUGGGCCGCCGCUGCCGGUGAGACCUGAACUGUUCCUCUGAGCAAGCAGGAGAGGGCGCCACCUUCUCGGAGUUCGAAGGACACAUCAGAUUGUUACCUGGUUUUCUUUGGUUGGUGCCACUGUAGGUGUUCAAUGAAAAGAGAAACUGUUGUGUUGCUGCUCAAUCUUUCUGGAAACCAAUUUAAUAAAAUGCAUCAAGCAUCUUAAA
Myotis brandtii (Brandt's bat) is the source of this 343-nucleotide long non-coding RNA. RefSeq lists it as uncharacterized. The transcript has 2 exons. NCBI's taxonomy places the organism in Eukaryota, Metazoa, Chordata, Mammalia, Chiroptera, Vespertilionidae. The record is from RefSeq and is a predicted model, not a curated record.